RNAcentral lists this small RNA (250 nucleotides) under Malus domestica (apple). RNAcentral describes it as "sRNA MD02G0040000". The stretch from base 162 to 250 matches the Rfam family "Small nucleolar RNA snR60/Z15/Z230/Z193/J17". Lineage: Eukaryota; Viridiplantae; Streptophyta; Magnoliopsida; Rosales; Rosaceae. The record is from RNAcentral.
UGCCAAUGAUGAUAGUACGGUUUUCGUGUAAUUUAUGACGUUCUGUGAUUACCUAUAUACCUACUGCCUUCCUUCUGAGGCUGAUCUCUUUUUCUUAAAAUAAUAACAUACUUUUUAUGAAUUUAGCGUAGAUUAUCUUAUCGUUUAUUGAUUAUAAGUAAUAGGGUCGUGUGAUGAUUUGACGCAUAGUUCAACUGAAUCUCUGUGAUUAAGCAAUUUUCAUGUCUUUCGCUCCUAUCUGACGACCCUU